Molecule: ribosomal RNA, 448 nt
Filed under: Vicia hirsuta
Lineage: Eukaryota; Viridiplantae; Streptophyta; Magnoliopsida; Fabales; Fabaceae
Description: eukaryotic LSU rRNA
Rfam family: Eukaryotic large subunit ribosomal RNA (bases 278-448)
Source: RNAcentral
CUUUUUGAAACGCAAGUUUGCGCCCGAUGCCAUUAGGUUGAGGGCACGUCUGCCUGGGUGUCACAUAUCGAAGCCUCCUGCCAAUUUCUCUUUGAUUAUUGUGCAGGGUGGAUGUUGGCCUCCCGUGAGCUCUUUCGUCUCAUGGUUGGUUGAAAAUUGAGACCUUGGUAGGGUGUGCCAUGAUAGAUGGUGGUUGUGUGAUCCACGAGACCAAUCAUGUGCUGCUCUAUUAAAUAUGGCCUCUUUUACCCAUAUGCGUUUCUAAACGCUCGUGAUGAGACCUCAGGUCAGGCGGGGCUACCCGCUGAAUUUAAGCAUAUCAAUAAGCGGAGGAAAAGAAACUAACAAGGAUUCCCUUAGUAACGGCGAGCGAACCGGGAUAAGCCCACCAUGAGAAUCGGUCGCCCUCGGCGUUCGAAUUGUAUCGAAAAAAAAACCCCCAAAUUUU